Molecule: long non-coding RNA, 2213 nt
Filed under: Taeniopygia guttata (zebra finch)
Lineage: Eukaryota; Metazoa; Chordata; Aves; Passeriformes; Estrildidae
Description: lncRNA (ENSTGUG00000025941.1)
Source: RNAcentral
CAUCUAUUAAUUUUACAUUAAGUAUUUAUUAAUGCACCCUUCAUGUAAAGUAUGAUUCAUUCACCUACAAAAAUUUAUUGUUUGUGGGGUUAUCUUAUAUAAAACAGAUCUUUAUUACUAACAGAAUUAAAUUACAACAUCUUGUAAAAAUCAUUCAUGAUUAUGAAGAUAGAGAAACUACACUGACAUGUUUAAUAGUACUAGAAAUUAAGUAGUAUGGCUGUUAUACUGUAUAUAUAAUAUAUAGGGUUUUAUGGCUGAACAGCUUUUGGCUUCGUCCUUUAUUUAAUAGCUAUUUUCAUCCAUUACAUCGCACUAACUUCCAUCAUGAUUCUCUAUAGAUCACAUAACCCACUUAAAAGCUGUAAGUAAUUGUCCUACUUGAUCAAAGAAACAAAUAUAGCCAUACCUAUAUAUAACACUAAAAUAUCCAGGAGAAAAUUUCAACAGAUAGUCCCAGACAAUUUGUACUGAAAAAUAUUUAAAUUACAACUUUGAAGUGUAAAACAACUGCAAAUAGGAAUUGUGAAAUGCAAAAACAUAUGAAGAAAAAGUGCAUAGGUAAAAAAAAAAGGAUAAUUUCAGUGAGGAAAUGCUUUUUCACUCCUAGCAGAUUUUAAGACCUGAUACUCAUUUGAUAUGAAAUACUAUAUUUCUGCUAUUUUCCAGUACUUGAUUUAAUGGCAGGCUGAUUUAUGCCACUGGACAACCUUGCUCAACAUCCAUUAAUGUUACAUAGUUUGACUCAGAAUCUCUGUUCCACAAUUCUUCUCAAGACUUCAGCCUUGCCUACUAAUGGGGGUGUUUCAUCCAUGUUCAACGUGAUGAUUUUUUCUUCACCAUGAUGACCCUGCAUACAGAAUGGAAUUUAUUUUGAAUUACAUGAUCAGCUUGGGGAAGAAGAUUGUCUCUUCAGUUCCCUUUCAAACACCACUUUUUGUGGGACAGCUUCUACAAAGACUCGGAGGAAGGUUAACAAGCUAAGUUGGAAGUCACUGUAAUUCUAAGUAUGAAAUCAGGAUUUGUUUCCAGACAUCACUUACAGUUGUAUCAAAGUAUAAUCCUGAUAUAAUUUUCCAUUCUAAGAGUCUUCUGUGCUGCAAGAACAGUGUCUGAGAGCAGGAUACAACCUGUACCUUCUGUCUUUGAUAUGCCACCAGGGCAUGACUGCACCUUUGGGGGCCAGACACAGCUACCAAUGGUGGUUUCCAAAACAGCACCUACAUACUAAUUCCGGCAUUAACUCAGCUGCAUAGAGCAUGGUGCUAAUAAUGCCAAGGUUGUGGAUUUAAUCCCUGCAUGGGCCUGACUUAUAAGUCAAACUUGAUGAUCCUUGUGGGUCCUUUUUCGGCUCAGAAUAUCCUGUAACUCCUGUAUUGUCCCUGUAGUGUCAGAGAUGGACCACAGCAGAAGCUGCUCUUGGAGAUUUAUUCUGUGCAAAGCUGCUUCCAGACUUGUGAAGCACUGACAGGUACAUUCAGUACAGGAGCUGCAAUGUGACCAGAAGGGAGAUCACUCCAUGGUUAUUGCGUGCACUGUGGUUAUCACUUUGAGCAAAUGCUGGAAUGCAGAAAAGUAUAAUUUGGAAAGCUGACAAGUGUAAGUUGCCAAAGAACCAGAUUUGUCUUUGACAAAUUUAACUGAAAAGACAAACCUACCAGCAGAACACAAGUACUAUAAGUACUACAAGUACAGUAGAUUCGUAAAACAGUAAUUUCGAUCAAAAUACAGCUUUCAUGUCAACACACAAAAGAUAAUUAUAUUAAUUGACAUUACAGAAGCCUGAAAAGUCAGAUGAAAGGGAAGUAAAAUUGAAUUGCCUGGCAACAACUGGACCAACAAUAUGUAUUUUACUCUCUUGUAAAUUCUAAAAUUUUCUGAUCCAUCUAAUUGCUAGUGUGCCAAAAUCUAGUUAGUUUGUGUUUUAUCUUCCAGAGAUGUACUAGGCUCAGAGCCACAGUUAAAGAAGCUUUCAUUAUUACUUAAUGAAUUUAAUAAUGUACGCUUUUUAAAAAAAGUUCUCCAUUUAGUACAAUAUAUGGUGGAUUACAAUUGUUAAGAAAUUAUGAAACUCCUUGUGCAGUGUAUUUUGGGAAUGUUUUCAGACAUUAUCAAUAACAGAUAGUUUUCAUAUACAUCAGCAAUAAAUGCCUUUCUGGUUCUAUGGAUCAGGUAAAACUAUCCUAACUGCAUUUCAGUAUCAAACUGCUCCC